This 775-nucleotide ribosomal RNA is filed under the name uncultured Neocallimastigales. Its description in RNAcentral is "partial large subunit ribosomal RNA". It matches the Rfam family "Eukaryotic large subunit ribosomal RNA", at positions 24 to 646 of the family's 3401-position model. Lineage: Eukaryota; Fungi; Neocallimastigomycota; Neocallimastigomycetes; Neocallimastigales. The record is from RNAcentral.
UAUGUGAUCGUCUCUCGCAUAUCAAUAAGCGGAGGAAAAGAAACUAACAAGGAUUCCCCUAGUAACGGCGAGUGAAGCGGGAAGAGCUCAAAUUUGAAAUCUUAAAGGGUUUCCCUUUACGAAUUGUAGUUUAAAGAAGUGUUUUCUGUUGAGGUUUUGGUAAAAGUUCUUUGGAAUAGGACAUCAUAGAGGGUGAGAAUCCCGUAUUUGACCUUUACUUUCAACUUUGUGAUACACUUUCAAAGAGUCGGAUUGUUUGGGAAUGCAGUCCAAAAUGGGUGGUAAAUUUCAUCUAAAGCUAAAUAUUGGCGAGAGACCGAUAGCGAACAAGUACCGUGAGGGAAAUGAUGAAAAGAACUUUGAAAAGAGAGUUAAACAGUACGUGAAAUUGUCAAAAGGGAAGCGUUUGACACCAGUGUUGUUUUUCUGAAAAUCAAUUAAAGAACUGUUUAUGCUAAGUUGUUUAGACUUUAUCAGCUAUCUGUUUAGUUUUGAGCUUUUCUUUAAUGCACUUUUCAGUUAACAAGUCAACAUCAAUUUCUUUUGCUGUAAAAAAGCUUGAGGAAGGUGGCUUGAGAUUCGUCUUAAGUGUUUAUAGCCUCUUGCCUAUGCAGUCGGAGAGAUUGAGGUCUGCAGCGUAGAUCCUUCGGGGCUAAAUGCAUUUGUGCUAAGUUAUAGCAUUUUAUAGACAACUUGUUGACUAUGAUUUGUCUUGUAGCUUACUCGCUUAUGUUAUUUUACCUACGCUUAGGAUGUUGAUCUGUAGUGCGUGCGC